ACCUCCCCUCCCCACGUUGCAGUCGGGUGCGGAGCGUGCUGUUUUGCCAGAAAGGAGGCUUUCUUCUCCAGGAAACAGCGGGAGGGAGAGUCUUUGUUGGAGUUUUCCCUUGCUUUAAUCGGUCUCCUGGAGCAGCAUUUGGAGCGGCUGGAGGUCGUGUUGGGUCGCUUGGAGCAUGAGGGCUUGAAGGCUAAAUUGGCGAAGUGCGCGUUCUUCCGGAAAGAGGUAAAGUAUCUAGGACAUGUUAUUUCUGCUCAGGGUGUUUCCACUGACCCAGGUAAGAUCGAGGCAGUUUCACAGUGGCGGUGUCCCACCAGUGCGUCUGAGCUACGCUCGU
Clarias gariepinus (North African catfish) is the source of this 337-nucleotide long non-coding RNA. RefSeq lists it as uncharacterized. The record is from RefSeq and is a predicted model, not a curated record. The transcript is spliced from 3 exons. Lineage: Eukaryota; Metazoa; Chordata; Actinopteri; Siluriformes; Clariidae.